This 89-nucleotide transfer RNA is filed under the name Terriglobia bacterium. RNAcentral's name for it is "tRNA-Leu". It matches the Rfam family "tRNA". Rfam says of the family: Transfer RNA (tRNA) molecules are approximately 80 nucleotides in length. Their secondary structure includes four short double-helical elements and three loops (D, anti-codon, and T loops). Lineage: Bacteria; Pseudomonadati; Acidobacteriota; Terriglobia. The record is from RNAcentral.
GCCCGGAUGGCGAAACUGGCAGACGCACGGGACUUAAAAUCCCGGGUCCCUAACAGGACGUACCGGUUCGAUUCCGGUUCCGGGCACCA